RNAcentral lists this transfer RNA (71 nucleotides) under Loxodonta africana (African savanna elephant). It matches the Rfam family "tRNA". Rfam says of the family: Transfer RNA (tRNA) molecules are approximately 80 nucleotides in length. Their secondary structure includes four short double-helical elements and three loops (D, anti-codon, and T loops). Lineage: Eukaryota; Metazoa; Chordata; Mammalia; Proboscidea; Elephantidae. The record is from Rfam by way of RNAcentral.
CUCUGAGUGGCAUAAAUGGUUAAGUGUUUGGCUACUAACCAAAAGGUUGAUGGUUCAAAUCCACCCAGAGU